RNAcentral lists this ribosomal RNA (372 nucleotides) under Triticum aestivum (bread wheat). RNAcentral's name for it is "partial small subunit ribosomal RNA". Lineage: Eukaryota; Viridiplantae; Streptophyta; Magnoliopsida; Poales; Poaceae. The record is from RNAcentral.
AUGGCAACAAUCUCCUGCCAUGAAGAAAUGGGUUGGCCAUCUAUUGAAGUGCAAAUGCGAGAUGUUGAAGCAUUGGGAAGACAAAAUGAACCUGUGCUCAAUCAUAGUGCUACAUCCAAGGAAAAUUCCACUGGCUCCACUUUGCGGUCUCAUUCCUGUUCCCGACAAAAAGAAGAAGAUACCAAGAGAGGUGAAGGUUGCUAUUGUGCAAUCAUUGAGAAAGCAUGUGUGAGCCGGAAACAAUGGCAUGAUAACAUCUUUGUGCAAGAGCCCGCAGCUACAAGUCGGCGACAACCUGCUUUGGACGUUCAAUGGAGCCAAUGGUACAGCGGACAUCAUGCUUGUGUGUCACAUCGCCACCAGCAUCCUUGA